UGGCGCACGGGUGCGUAACGCGUGGGAAUCUGCCCCUUGGUUCGGAAUAACAGUUGGAAACGACUGCUAAUACCGGAUGAUGACGUAAGUCCAAAGAUUUAUCGCCGAGGGAUGAGCCCGCGUAGGAUUAGGUAGUUGGUGUGGUAAAGGCGCACCAAGCCGACGAUCCUUAGCUGGUCUGAGAGGAUGAUCAGCCACACUGGGACUGAGACACGGCCCAG
Molecule: ribosomal RNA, 221 nt
Filed under: uncultured Sphingomonas sp.
Lineage: Bacteria; Pseudomonadati; Pseudomonadota; Alphaproteobacteria; Sphingomonadales; Sphingomonadaceae
Description: partial 16S ribosomal RNA
Rfam family: Bacterial small subunit ribosomal RNA
Source: RNAcentral